ACCUGCCCUAUGAUGUAUUAAAUGGCCGCGAUAUUUUGAUCGUGCAAAGGUAGCAUAAUCAUUAGUUUUUUAAUUAGGAACUGGUAUGAAAGGUUGAACGAGAAAAAAACUGUCUCAAUUUAAUUUAAUUAGAAUUUUAUUUUUAAGUUAAAAAGCUUAAAUAAUUUUAAAAGACGAGAAGACCCUAUAGAGUUUUAUAUUUAAUGGUUUAUGAAAAAUAUAGUAUAUAAAAUUUCAUUUAUUUAUUUAAGUAUUUGGUUGGGGUGAUUGAAAAAUUAAAUAAACUUUUUUUUAAAAUAGAACAUUUAUAUAUGAAAUAUUGAUCCAUAAUUUUAUGAUUAAAAGAUUAAAUUAC
This 355-nucleotide ribosomal RNA is filed under the name Helictopleurus fissicollis. RNAcentral's name for it is "partial 16S ribosomal RNA". Lineage: Eukaryota; Metazoa; Arthropoda; Insecta; Coleoptera; Scarabaeidae. The record is from RNAcentral.